AUGGCACUCACGGCGCUCGAGACCGCGGAGCGGCGCCUGCCGUGCCACGCCGAGCAGGCCGACGCCGGCGGCAAGGUGGUGGCUGCUGCUGCUGCUGAGCAGGCCGUGCCGCUGCAGGAGGCGGACCACGGCGGCCGUCUCGAGAGGGACGACAUAUGGAACAUGAUCCAGUCGCAGAAGCCCGCGGCCCCGGCGUUGACGCCGAAGCAGGCGCCGUACGUGCCGGCCCCCGUGCGCCGCUCCUCCAGCCUGCUCACCCAGAAGAGCCUGGAGAUCUGCACAGAGAGCCUCGGCUCCGAGACCGGCUCCGACGGCUUCUCCGACGCCGCCGACCGCUCCUGCCCGGGCUCCGACGACGACGACGGCGAGGGCGGCGCCGACGGGGUGGCCGCGCGCGCCAUGCCGCCCCGCGCGUUCCCGCCGCCGCUGCCCUCGCUGGCGCGCCGCACCGUCGGGUCGCUGCAGAUGAGGCAGCACCGCCGCGACGGCCGCCUCGUCGUCGAGGCCGUCCCCGUGCUGUCCAACACCCUGUUCCGCGCGCAGCGCCGUGGCGGGCGCCUGCUCCUCUCCUUCGCUGACACCGCCGCCCCGGCCGAGGACGAGGGGAAGAACCGCGCCCAGGAAGCCGACCAGCAGCAGGCCGACGAGCAGACCCGCGAGGAGGAGGAGGAGGAUGACGGCGAGGAGGAGGUCCAGGUCGUGGACAGAGGCACCGUCGUCGAGGUCAAGGUCAGUACGCAGCCCCAGGCGCACAACAGUGGGGCGCGGGUGCACCGCUCCUCGCUCGUCAUCAACAAGUUCGUCGGCGCCGAGCCCGUCAACGCCUCCGAGAUCAAUGACACCGCCGCUGCGCCGCAGCAGUCGCCCAAGCCUCCGAGCAGUUCGGAGGCCGCAGCUCCGGCUCUAAGCGCGACCGCGACGCUGCCUGGCCCGGAAGACGACGGCAGUGCUGCCACGCCCUGCGAGGGCAAGGUGCUGAUGACGACGAGGAGGCGGCGGAGCAAGCAGGAGCUCCUCAACCACAUGCGCCGGUGCGGCCAGCUGAGCGGGCAGCUCUUCAUAUGGGAGCCGCGCGUCGCCACCUCCUCCUGA
This 1092-nucleotide ribosomal RNA is filed under the name Triticum aestivum (bread wheat). Its description in RNAcentral is "partial small subunit ribosomal RNA". The record is from RNAcentral. Lineage: Eukaryota; Viridiplantae; Streptophyta; Magnoliopsida; Poales; Poaceae.